RNAcentral lists this ribosomal RNA (499 nucleotides) under uncultured bacterium. Its description in RNAcentral is "partial 16S ribosomal RNA". It matches the Rfam family "Bacterial small subunit ribosomal RNA", at positions 28 to 507 of the family's 1533-position model. The record is from RNAcentral.
GAUGAACGCUGGCGGCGUGCCUAAUACAUGCAAGUCGAGCGAACAGACGAGAGUGCUUGCACUCUCUGACGUUAGCGGCGGACGGGGGAGUAACACGUGGGUAACCUACCUAUAAGACUGGGAUAACUUCGGGAAACCGGAGCUAAUACCGGAUAAUAUUUAGCUUCUCAUGAAGCAAUAGCGAAAGACGGUUCUGGUUUCACUUAUAGAUGGACCGGCGGUGUAUUAGCUAGUUGGUGAGGUAACGGCUCACCAAGGCGACGAUACAUAGCCGACCUGAGAGGGUGAUCGGCCACACUGGGACUGAGACACGGCCCAGACUCCUACGGGAGGCAGCAGUAGGGAAUCUUCCGCAAUGGACGAAAGCCUGACGGAGCAAUGCCGCGUGAGUGAAGAAGGUUUUCGGAUCGUAAAACUCUGUUGUAAGGGAAGAACAAGUACGUUAGUAACUGAACGUACCUUGACGGUACCUUACCAGAAAGCCACGGCUAACUACGUG